UGGGAGGGUCCCAUCCUGAGAAAUGGCACACAUGGAGGGAUCAAUACAUUUUUAGCCAAGAACUUCAAAUUCUUUCAGAAAACCUAAUCCUAAUUUUCCUCUGUCUAUGUAUGGUUUUUUUUUUUCGGGGUCUUACACACAUGCUGGGUGAACCCUCUAAAGUUGAUUGAUUUACUUAUCUAGGGAUGGGCAUAGAAUGCUAUGGUGCCUAUGUCGAGGUCAGAAGACAAUUUGAAGGUUUCAGUUCUCUCUCCAUGAAGGUCCUGAGAUUUGAACUCAGGUCAAUAGGAUUAACAACAAUCACCUUUAGGCCCUGAGCCCCCUUGGCAACCC
This 333-nucleotide long non-coding RNA is filed under the name Androctonus crassicauda. Lineage: Eukaryota; Metazoa; Arthropoda; Arachnida; Scorpiones; Buthidae. The record is from RNAcentral.